AACGCUGGCGGCGCGCUUAACACAUGCAAGUCGCACGAGAAAGGGAGCAAUCCUGAGUAUAGUGGCGCACGGGUGAGUAACACGUGGAUGAUUUACCUCCUUGUGGGGAAUAACCCUGGGAAACCGGGGCUAAUACCGCAUAGGUUCGAGAGGAGAAAGCCGAAAGGCGCAGGGAGAGGAGUCCGCGGUCGAUUAGCUAGUUGGCAGGGUAAUGGCCUACCAAGGCGACGAUCGAUAGCCGGCCUGAGAGGGCACACGGCCACACUGGCACUGAAACACGGGCCAGACUCCUACGGGAGGCAGCAGUGGGGAAUCUUGCACAAUGGGGGAAACCCUGAUGCAGCGACGCCGCGUGAACGAUGAAGCCCUUCGGGGUGUAAAGUUCUUUCGACGGGGACGAUAAUGACGGUACCCGGAGAAGAAGGUG
RNAcentral lists this ribosomal RNA (427 nucleotides) under Acidobacteria bacterium UCL-021. RNAcentral describes it as "bacterial SSU rRNA". It matches the Rfam family "Bacterial small subunit ribosomal RNA", at positions 32 to 493 of the family's 1533-position model. The record is from RNAcentral. Lineage: Bacteria; Pseudomonadati; Acidobacteriota.